ACACGGUCCAGACUCCUACGGGAGGCAGCAGUGGGGAAUUUUGGACAAUGGGCGCAAGCCUGAUCCAGCAAUGCCGCGUGAGUGAAGAAGGCCUUCGGGUUGUAAAGCUCUUUUGUCAGGGAAGAAACGGUUGGGGCUAAUAUCCCCGGCUAAUGACGGUACCUGAAGAAUAAGCACCGGCUAACUACGUGCCAGCAGCCGCGGUAAUACGUAGGGUGCAAGCGUUAAUCGGAAUUACUGGGCGUAAAGCGUGCGCAGGCGGUUUUGUAAGUCUGAUGUGAAAUCCCCGGGCUCAACCUGGGAAUUGCAUUGGAGACUGCAAGGCUGGAAUCUGGCAGAGGGGGGUAGAAUUCCACGUGUAGCAGUGAAAUGCGUAGAGAUGUGGAGGAACACCGAUGGCGAAGGCAGCCCCCUGGGUCAAGAUUGACGCUCAUGCACGAAAGCGUGGGGAGCAAACAGGAUUAGAUACCCUGGUAGUCCACGCCCUAAACGAUGUCUACUAGUUGUCGGGUUUUAAUUAACUUGGUAACGCAGCUAACGCGUGAAGUAGACCGCCUGGGA
RNAcentral lists this ribosomal RNA (561 nucleotides) under bacterium DR2A-55G11. RNAcentral's name for it is "bacterial SSU rRNA". It matches the Rfam family "Bacterial small subunit ribosomal RNA", at positions 324 to 878 of the family's 1533-position model. The record is from RNAcentral.